RNAcentral lists this ribosomal RNA (1445 nucleotides) under Glutamicibacter arilaitensis. RNAcentral describes it as "bacterial SSU rRNA". It matches the Rfam family "Bacterial small subunit ribosomal RNA". The record is from RNAcentral. Lineage: Bacteria; Bacillati; Actinomycetota; Actinomycetes; Micrococcales; Micrococcaceae.
GUCGUGCUUACACAUGCAAGUCGAACGAUGAACCAGGUGCUUGCACUUGGGGAUUAGUGGCGAACGGGUGAGUAACACGUGAGUAACCUGCCCCUGACUCUGGGAUAAGCCCGGGAAACUGGGUCUAAUACCGGAUAUGACUGUUCACCGCAUGGUGGGUGGUUGAAAGAUUUAUCGGUGAGGGAUGGACUCGCGGCCUAUCAGCUUGUUGGUGAGGUAAUGGCUCACCAAGGCGACGACGGGUAGCCGGCCUGAGAGGGUGACCGGCCACACUGGGACUGAGACACGGCCCAGACUCCUACGGGAGGCAGCAGUGGGGAAUAUUGCACAAUGGGCGAAAGCCUGAUGCAGCGACGCCGCGUGAGGGAUGACGGCCUUCGGGUUGUAAACCUCUUUCAGUAGGGAAGAAGCGAAAGUGACGGUACCUGCAGAAGAAGCGCCGGCUAACUACGUGCCAGCAGCCGCGGUAAUACGUAGGGCGCAAGCGUUAUCCGGAUUUAUUGGGCGUAAAGAGCUCGUAGGCGGUUUGUCGCGUCUGCCGUGAAAGUCCAAGGCUCAACCUUGGAUCUGCGGUGGGUACGGGCAGACUAGAGUGAUGUAGGGGAGACUGGAAUUCCUGGUGUAGCGGUGAAAUGCGCAGAUAUCAGGAGGAACACCGAUGGCGAAGGCAGGUCUCUGGGCAUUUACUGACGCUGAGGAGCGAAAGCAUGGGGAGCGAACAGGAUUAGAUACCCUGGUAGUCCAUGCCGUAAACGUUGGGCACUAGGUGUGGGGGACAUUCCACGUUUUCCGCGCCGUAGCUAACGCAUUAAGUGCCCCGCCUGGGGAGUACGGCCGCAAGGCUAAAACUCAAAGGAAUUGACGGGGGCCCGCACAAGCGGCGGAGCAUGCGGAUUAAUUCGAUGCAACGCGAAGAACCUUACCAAGGCUUGACAUGUGCCAGACCGCCUCAGAGAUGGGGUUUCCCUUCGGGGCUGGUUCACAGGUGGUGCAUGGUUGUCGUCAGCUCGUGUCGUGAGAUGUUGGGUUAAGUCCCGCAACGAGCGCAACCCUCGUUCCAUGUUGCCAGCACGUAAUGGUGGGGACUCAUGGGAGACUGCCGGGGUCAACUCGGAGGAAGGUGGGGAUGACGUCAAAUCAUCAUGCCCCUUAUGUCUUGGGCUUCACGCAUGCUACAAUGGCCGGUACAAUGGGUUGCGAUACUGUGAGGUGGAGCUAAUCCCUAAAAGCCGGUCUCAGUUCGGAUUGGGGUCUGCAACUCGACCCCAUGAAGUCGGAGUCGCUAGUAAUCGCAGAUCAGCAACGCUGCGGUGAAUACGUUCCCGGGCCUUGUACACACCGCCCGUCAAGUCACGAAAGUUGGUAACACCCGAAGCCGAUGGCCUAACCACCUUGUGUGGGGGGAGUCGUCGAAGGUGGGACUGGCGAUUGGGACUAAGUCGUAA